RNAcentral lists this ribosomal RNA (375 nucleotides) under uncultured organism. RNAcentral describes it as "bacterial SSU rRNA". It matches the Rfam family "Archaeal small subunit ribosomal RNA", at positions 476 to 851 of the family's 1478-position model. The record is from RNAcentral.
CCAGCACCCCGAGUGGUCGGGACGAUUAUUGGGCCUAAAGCAUCCGUAGCCGGUUUUACAAGUCCUCCGUUAAAUCCAACUGCUUAACAGAUGGGCCGCGGAGGAUACUAUAAGACUAGGAGGCAGGAGAGGCAAGCGGUACUCAGUGGGUGGGGGUAAAAUCCGUUGAUCCAUUGAAGACCACCAGUGGCGAAGGCGGCUUGCCAGAAUGCGCUCGACGGUGAGGGAUGAAAGCUGGGGGAGCAAACCGGAUUAGAUACCCGGGUAGUCCCAGCCGUAAACGAUGCAGACUCGGUGAUGGACCAGCUUCAUGCUAGUCCAGUGCCGCAGGGAAGCCGUUAAGUCUGCCGCCUGGGUAGUACGGUCGCAAGACUG